Molecule: long non-coding RNA, 1026 nt
Organism: Girardinichthys multiradiatus
Lineage: Eukaryota; Metazoa; Chordata; Actinopteri; Cyprinodontiformes; Goodeidae
Exons: 3
Source: RefSeq, a predicted model, not a curated record
UCAAGUGGUUGCUGUCAGCUGGGCCCUGCUCUGGAUUACCUUCAAGGUCCUGUCUCGCGUCCCGCUGGUUGAAUGAAAGCCUUCGUCAUGGAUAACCCGCCGUGGUUCCGCCUCCUAACAAGUUGGUAAAUACUUCAAUGAAUUUACCACAGCCCAAGGAUCUCCCUGGAUCCACUGAACCAGAUCAUAGAUUCAUUCCUCGCUCUAUGUGCUUUGCCUGUCCACCCUACAAUGCCUUACACCGACUGGAGAAACCUGCUCACGCCGCAUGCCGACCUGCCGAACUCAGCCUCCGCAGUUUGCUCACUCCUCCCCAGCCUCAACAUAAUCACCAAAAAGGUCACGGGGGAGCUGGUCCCUAUCUCCAGCCGUCUACGGGCGAGAGGCGUGGUACACAAUGGACAGGUCGCAAGUCCACAGCGCAACACGGAGUCACACAUUUUAUACAUGAAAAUAUAUAGAAGACAUUUUUUGCAUAUACAACAAUUGUUGAGGUCACACCCGCCAUUUUGGUCAGAUAAAUGACUGUAUGACAUAGCUCAACAGGCUUCGAAGCUUUGAUGUCAUAAGAGCUUAUGAAAAGCAUGGGAAACAAUCUUUUAACUGCCAUUUCCAGCUGUAGUGAACCGCUACGCUCGGGACUGAUUUACUUUUUCUCAACACUGGCCAUUCCUGGAAGAGCUUGACAAAGCUAGAAAUCUUGCUGGGAUAAGAAGACCAGGAGAUUUACUUUACCAAUCAAAGACCAUCAGACACAACCCAGGCACAAGUGAAACCCACAGUGGUUUUGUUUCCAAGGAGACGACUUUCCUCGUUUUUCAGUCGACUGCAACGGUUCCUCAUAUUUUCCCUGUUUUGGAUGGAUGAGAAGUUUAAAGUUUUUGAGUUGAUGGCGAAUGUGGGACACUCUGAUUCCCCCCUGUCAAAUGAAGCCCAAGAAGCCAUUGUACCCUCCCGUGGUUGUCUGAACUAAUAAAACCCUGAACUUAAGCUUGUGCUGUGAUAAUAAACCUUUUUCAAACUUUA